Non-coding RNA from Acanthosepion pharaonis, 107 nucleotides. The record is from the annotation of a GenBank genome assembly. NCBI's taxonomy places the organism in Eukaryota, Metazoa, Mollusca, Cephalopoda, Sepiida, Sepiidae.
UUGCGGCCAUAUCACGUUGAAACAACGGUUCCUGUGAGAUCACCGAAGUUAAGAAACGUCUAGCUUGGUCAAUACCUAGAUGGGUGACCUGGUGGGAAUACUCGGUG